Molecule: ribosomal RNA, 253 nt
Filed under: uncultured bacterium
Lineage: Bacteria
Description: partial 16S ribosomal RNA
Rfam family: Bacterial small subunit ribosomal RNA
Source: RNAcentral
GACAGAGGAUGCAAGCGUUAUCCGGAAUUACUGGGCGUAAAGCGCGCGUAGGUGGUUUGUUAAGUUGGAUGUGAAAUCCCCGGGCUCAACCUGGGAACUGCAUCCAAAACUGGCAAGCUAGAGUAUGGUAGAGGGUGGUGGAAUUUCCUGUGUAGCGGUGAAAUGCGUAGAUAUAGGAAGGAACACCAGUGGCGAAGGCGACCACCUGGACUGAUACUGACACUGAGGUGCGAAAGCGUGGGGAGCAAACAGG